GGGCCCGCACAAGCGGAGGAGCAUGUGGCUUAAUUCGAUGCAACGCGAAGAACCUUACCCGGGUUUGACAUGUGACUGCACGUCCCGUGAAAGCGGGAUUCCUUCGAGGGUGUCACACAGGUGCUGCAUGGCUGUCGUCAGUUCGUGCCGUGAGGUGUUUGGUUAAGUCCAGCAACGAACGCAACCCCUGUGACCAGUUGCCAGCGCGUAAAGGCGGGAACUCUGGUCAGACUGCCUGUUUACACAGGAGGAAGGUGGGGACGACGUCAAGUCAGUAUGGCCCUUACAUCCGGGGCUGCACACGUGCUACAAUGGCCGGUACAAAGGGAAGCGAGACCGCGAGGUGGAGCAAACCCCCAGAGCCGGCCCCAGUUCAGAUUGCGGUCUGCAACCCGACCGCAUGAAGCCGGAUUCGCUAGUAACGGCGCAUCAGCUACGGCGCCGUGAAUACGUUCCCGGGCCUU
This 464-nucleotide ribosomal RNA is filed under the name uncultured bacterium. Its description in RNAcentral is "bacterial SSU rRNA". It matches the Rfam family "Bacterial small subunit ribosomal RNA", at positions 917 to 1382 of the family's 1533-position model. The record is from RNAcentral.